RNAcentral lists this ribosomal RNA (468 nucleotides) under uncultured bacterium. RNAcentral describes it as "partial 16S ribosomal RNA". It matches the Rfam family "Bacterial small subunit ribosomal RNA", at positions 28 to 507 of the family's 1533-position model. The record is from RNAcentral.
GACGAACGCUGGCGGCGUGCUUAACACAUGCAAGUCGAACGGAAAGGCCCUGCUUUUGUGGGGUGCUCGAGUGGCGAACGGGUGAGUAACACGUGAGUAACCUGCUCUUGUCUUUGGGAUAACUUCAGGAAACUGGGGCUAAUACCGUAUAGGAGCCCCCGUUGCAUGGAGGGGGUUGGAACGUUUCGGCGGUCGGGGAUGGACUCGCGGCUUAUCAGCUUGUUGGUGGGGUAGUGGCUUACCAAGGCUGUGACGGGUAGCCGGCCUGAGAGGGUGACCGGCCACAUUGGGACUGAGGUACGGCCCAGACUCCUACGGGAGGCAGCAGUGGGGAAUAUUGCACAAUGGGCGGAAGCCUGAUGCAGCAACGCCGCGUGCGUGAUGACGGCCUUCGGGUUGUAAACCGCUUUCGCCUGUGACGAAGCGGGAGUGACGGUAAUGAGUAAAGAAGCACCGGCUAACUACGUG